Long non-coding RNA from Armigeres subalbatus, 603 nucleotides. RefSeq lists it as uncharacterized. The record is from RefSeq and is a predicted model, not a curated record. Lineage: Eukaryota; Metazoa; Arthropoda; Insecta; Diptera; Culicidae. The transcript has 3 exons.
GCCGCUGCGGCUUGAUUUUUUUUAUUAAAACAGGAUAGAUAUCCGUGUAAAUUAAUUAUAAAUAAAAUAAACUGGGGCAUGACCAGAUAGUGAAAACUCCCUUGUGUAUAUGGACAAACGGUACCCCGCAAGUCGCGAUCACGGAAUUCCGGAACAUCGAUAGAUGACACGCCGCCCAGCCAGGAGUGGAAUAAAAUAAAAUGUUCAAUACUCGCAAUGAGCAGCUUCAUCGUUUGGAAUUCCCGAUAUGAUAAUCCGAUUUACAAAAAAGCCCAUCAGAUAAAAAACCGGAUGUCGAUCCGGGUUUUGACUCAACGAUGGGAACAUAUUUGCCGAGGACUCUCAUAGGGAUGGAACAAAAACAGGAUAGUCGAAACGGAAUAAAAACAACGAGCGGUUGUUUUGCAGCAGAAAGGAACGCUAAAUGUAACGAAAAGUUGACGAGAAAGCGGUUCAACUCGAUCAGCUAGUCCAGUCAAACUUUCAGCUAUGCGAGAUUCUCACGUACAAGAAUAAUUUGUGGCUCGCUGUCAGACGAUCGGUUACUGUAAUUAGUUACUAUAGAUGUCCAAGCAUAAGGAGCUGUAGAUGUAGUUGUCGACU